RNAcentral lists this small nucleolar RNA (65 nucleotides) under Procavia capensis (Cape rock hyrax). Its description in RNAcentral is "Small nucleolar RNA SNORD42 (ENSPCAG00000020092.1)". It matches the Rfam family "Small nucleolar RNA SNORD42". Rfam says of the family: snoRNA U42 is found in intron 3 of the ribosomal protein L23a (RPL23a) gene in humans and is also present in mice. U42 is a member of the C/D class of snoRNA which contain C (UGAUGA) and D (CUGA) box motifs. The record is from RNAcentral. Lineage: Eukaryota; Metazoa; Chordata; Mammalia; Hyracoidea; Procaviidae.
CUGCAAAUGAUGGGGAAAAAAAACAUUCGAAAAGAAUGACAUGAACAGAGGAACUGCUGAUGCCA